AAGAUGGACGGAGAGAGGAGAGAGGGGUGGAAGCAGAGUGUAGAGGCAGGAAGGUGGAGGCCUGAGGGCGGUUUCGCAAGGAGAGGAGAGAGAGAGAGAGAGAAGAGAGCAAAGAAUGGGACGACGGUGGGGGCGCUCCGCUUAAAACAACAGGAAACUGAGUGAGAGCACCUGACGCUGACGGUGAGCAUCAAGGGCCGCGCCACGUGCCGCUAAACUGCAGCCAAAGCUCAUUUCUGAGGCGGCGGUGCUGCUAGCGAUGUGCAGAGGGGUGUGUGAGCUCCGGCUAAUCUCUCUUUAAAGUGGAUAUCCUGCUCAAUGCUGCUUUUGUUUCUGAGGCCUGCUUUCACAAGGACAUACAAUCCCUUGUGUCCACUCCUCCCCUCCUCCUCUCUUUGUCCUACUUGGCGUUUUAUCUCCGUUGUUCACUGCACACGCCUCCUUUCAUGAAACCCCUAUUAGGGUUUUAUGGGGUUUUAGUAACUUUGUCUUGACGUGUCUGUGCGACGCCGAAGGCCUGUGCGCGCGCUUCGAGUACGUCAAAUUCUUACACUCGUGUCCAUGUGUUGAACGGACACAGAAAUUAGGAGGAAAUCUCAAUGGACCUGCUGCCCUCCGCCGAUGCAGAGACCUGCUGGGAUGGCAGCUGGGCUGCUCGCUUCCCAUUCACAGCGAGGAGGGAUGCUUGGUGCUACUUCAGAACCAGAUCUCAAAAUAACUCCGCGGGCUUCUCUUGAUGACCCCGCAUUCCUUCCCGAAGACCAACUCUGGGCCUGCCGGGCCAGGCAGACAUAACAAAAAGCAUGGAACUGAUAAAGUCGGAAAGUAUUUCACUCACGCAGGAGACCCUUGCUGGAGUCUGUGUGCACUCCCCCUGAAAGACCGGGCCGAAAUACCACCGCUCUGUUUUGUCUGCCUAAAACUAAUAAAUCACGCAUCUCAGAAGGAGAACACAAAGCAACGCAAUUAAAGUCAUUUAUUUUAUCAUAGCCGACGUUGGCUUCUGCAGAGACUGCAGGGACACUGGGCAGAGCGCCUGGCUUAUUUAGAGUGGAAACAGAAAAUCGACGCUCCCCUCUACCCCCAGGAUCAGAUGUCAGGUUUAUGCGAUGUAAAAACAUUGAAUUUAUUGUGGCAUAAAUCCUGUAAAAUUUAACUGAAAAACAGACUUGUUAGUAGGAAACAUGUGACAAAUAAAAGUCUUAAAGUUUCUGAGGGUUUGGGGUCAAACAGCCCUGUUCGCUGUGGGUUAUGUGUUCGUUAGGUGACAUGCAAUGAAUCAGACCAACAUCCAUGUAUUUGGGAGGAUCUUAGCCAGGACUAAAUGUUUUGUUUGGAAGCAUAUGCGUUUGUUUUUUUUUGUUUUGUUUUUUUAACCCUACUUCUUAGUCCAGACAGAGAGAAUACAUGAAACCAUACCAACUGGAAACUUGUGUGACACCGUUGGCGUUACAGCCUCCCUGACAAGCACGUCUUGUAUUUACAUCAGCUUUUGAGAAACAUCCACUUUGACAAUAUUCCACUAAUGUAAAA
Molecule: long non-coding RNA, 1533 nt
Organism: Poecilia latipinna (sailfin molly)
Lineage: Eukaryota; Metazoa; Chordata; Actinopteri; Cyprinodontiformes; Poeciliidae
Exons: 2
Source: RefSeq, a predicted model, not a curated record